RNAcentral lists this ribosomal RNA (458 nucleotides) under uncultured bacterium. RNAcentral's name for it is "partial 16S ribosomal RNA". It matches the Rfam family "Bacterial small subunit ribosomal RNA", at positions 28 to 522 of the family's 1533-position model. The record is from RNAcentral.
GAUGAAUGCUGGCGGCGUGCCUAACACAUGCAAGUCGAGCGGUAAGGCCCUUCGGGGUACACGAGCGGCGGACGGCUGAGUAACGCGUGGGAACAUGCCCCAAAGUGAGGGAUAAGCUCCAGAAAUGGAGUCUAAUACCGCAUAUGAUCUUCGGAUUAAAGGAUUUAUCCGCUUUGGGAGUGGCCUGCGUACGAUUAGAUAGUUGGUGAGGUAAUGGCUUACCAAGUCUACGAUCGUUAACUGGUCUGAGAGGAUGAUCAGUCAGACUGGAACUGAGACACGGUCCAGACUCCUACGGGAGGCGGCAGUGAGGAAUCUUCCACAAUGGGCGAAAGCCUGAUGGAGCAACGCCGCGUGCAGGAUGAAGGCCUUCGGGUCGUAAACUGCUUUUAUAAGUGAAGAAUAUGACGGUAACUUAUGAAUAAGCACCGGCUAACUACGUGCCAGCAGCCGCCGUA